GAUGAACGCUAGCGGCAGGCUUAAUACAUGCAAGUCGAGGGGCAGCACGGUUAGCAAUAACUGGUGGCGACCGGCGCACGGGUGCGUAACACGUAUACAAUCUACCUUAAACAGGGGAUAGCCUUUCGAAAGAGAGAUUAAUACCCCGUAAUAAAUUGAACGGCAUCGUUUGAUUUUGAAAGCUCCGGCGGUUUGAGAUGAGUAAGCGUCUGAUUAGCUAGUUGGUGAGGUAACGGCUCACCAAGGCGACGAUCAGUAGGGGAUCUGAGAGGACUAACCCCCACACUGGUACUGAGACACGGACCAGACUCCUACGGGAGGCAGCAGUAAGGAAUAUUGGUCAAUGGAGGCAACUCUGAACCAGCCAUGCCGCGUGCAGGAUGACGGCCCUAUGGGUUGUAAACUGCUUUUAUACAAGAGAAAACCCUGGUACGUGUACCAGGUUGAUAGUAUUGUAAGAAUAAGCAUCGGCUAACUUCGUGCCAGCAGCCGCGGUAAU
This 499-nucleotide ribosomal RNA is filed under the name uncultured bacterium. RNAcentral's name for it is "bacterial SSU rRNA". It matches the Rfam family "Bacterial small subunit ribosomal RNA", at positions 28 to 524 of the family's 1533-position model. The record is from RNAcentral.